Molecule: long non-coding RNA, 2205 nt
Organism: Morone saxatilis (striped sea-bass)
Lineage: Eukaryota; Metazoa; Chordata; Actinopteri; Moronidae
Exons: 3
Source: RefSeq, a predicted model, not a curated record
UUUGACCCUACAUGAUAAAUGCGUCUGUACCUAGAGGACGAUGUUCCUCUGAAGACUCAUUAGGCAUACAGACACCAGACUGCCACCAGUGUUGGGGGAUGGGCCAUGAAGAAGGAGGUAUUGCCUCAAUGUCGUGUCAAAUUCUCCUGAAACCUACCGGCUACCAGUAGCUGUUUUAGCUCGUCGCCUUUUCCUUUUCACGCUCUGUGGAGGACAAAACCCCCAUCGAGCAGCAUUCAAUCAAAUGCUCUUUCCUUCCACUCACUGAGGUCUGGCUGGCGUCUUGAGGACACUGUGAAACAGAUCAGCGUCCCCCAGAGAAUACCAAGAAUUCAGUAUUCGAUAUGGCUGAUUAGGGCUGUUAGAUGAGGAUCAGAGAUGACCUUGGUGGACGAAUCAUCUGCAUUUUCUUCAGAGAUUCAGAGAGAAGCUUCUGGGAUAAAUAAUCAUCAUCACCUUGCUAUACCAUACUCACAAUUCUUAAGUAUGUGGUUUUUAUGAAGCUUUUGUGACUAUGAGUGCUAUGUUUAAAAAUGCAUUUAGGCUUAAUGUCACUUUGUAGGCUACUGACAGGCAUUCAGCCUACAGUCUACUGCAGCUGUGUGUGUCAGAACUUACCAGAAGCUCCACUUGUUGGUAUGUUGGUAUAUGGCUAAUAUGUUAGCAGACAAUUGCAUAUUUACACAUCCAGCAGAUUAUUACCAUUAAUGCUUCAGGCCACUUAACAUGACUCAAAUAUUCAGCCUCUUUAAGUCUCUUUAGCUGCUAUAUGAUCCAGCUAGUCUGCCAUUUAGAGCUGGACAGAUCGUGUACAGAGGGUUUAUCAGAGCUUUUCAGCUGAAGGCUGCUGCGUCUGGAAACUCUGCUGAUAAGAGUUAUGAGACUGAACCAAAACAAUAAAGUUUAAAGGCUUGUCAUGAAGCAGAAGUACUGUUACCAUGGUUACCUGCAGUUUAAUAUACCUUGCAUACCCUGUUUGUUUUUGUUUUUUUUACCUGAUGCCUGACAGCUAAUCAGAAACAAGUAUAAUCUGUGCCCAUGGUACAGUCCAACACCUAAAUGAACAAAAUAGCUGACGGAACACAAAAUGACACAUAGGGGUUUCAAAUGGGAUUCUGGUGCAGGUGUCGCAGGUGUGGGUCCAGUGAGUUGGGGGCUUGUCAUCAGUAAUCGAUGAAGGUAUUUUUAAUACAUCAGCUCUGUGCACCUACUGGGGAUUGAAUGUGGUUUCCAUACCAUUAAGGAUGAUUUAUGGGAUAAACACCCCCACCCCCACUACCACCCCAGACGACAGGUGUCACACAUAAGCUUCAGCAGCCUUUAAGCAUGUUAUGAAUGCAAAGCACAGGCCUCACAUGGAGAAGGUUGAAUGGGGGAAGAAGAUGGAUGGAAGGGGGAGAUUGGUAGAAACGAUGGCAGCGAGAUAAAGAGACGGUAGAUGAACAUGCCUAGUGUUGUGUCACUGCUUCCUUGUUUUUGGAAAAGUUGAUAUUGCAUAAUGUUUAAAGCUGCUGUAAUCAAUGUUUUUACAAUAACAGAUUAAGUAUCUGUGUAAUAUUAAAGUAGUGACAAACCCACAAAUAUCUGUCAUGACAAUGCUUUUUUUUUAGCAUUAUUGUUUCCAGCAACACCAUGCAACUGUUUUUCAUGAGAAAGCUCUGCCCCACUGUACAUUGCAUACUUGAAUAAGCACAACUAAAGCACAACUCUAGACUGUUUUGCUCUUGGUUCAUUAUAAUUUGCUAUGCCUUGCCAGCAUGACCAACCUGUGGUUGGUUUUGGUAAACGCUAUCUUCUCCCUCCUAACGCGGAAGUUGGCGUAACAGAAAACCACCAAUAUCUACAUAUUUAAAUAUUUGUUCAUUAAGCCUCAAAUGGCAAGAAAAAAUGUAAAUCCGCCAGUGUUUUAACACUUCAGACGUGCUUGGUGUAAUUUCAUCGUAUGCGUGAAGAGUUAGGGAGGCACAUGAUGCCAGGCGAAACUAUGGCAGAGAUGAGUGAGAGGAGUAAAAGGGAAAGACUGGGAGAAAAAGCAGGAAGCUGCAACGGAAUUUCCACACCCUGAUGUGGGUGGACCCCUCCUGCCCAGAGAACAGAGAGGGCACAUUCUCCCAUCUCUGCCUUCCUACCCCCUUUUUUCUUCUCUGCCUCGCCUCCCUCCCAGCUUUCUCUUUUUGCUCGGACAAUAGGGGCCACGGUGAAACA